ACCAGGAAGUAAGUACAAACCAUUGGAUAAACUUUGUUUGUUUAACGCCCCACUCAGUAAUAUAACUGAUAUGCGACGGUGGUAUGUAAGAAAUGUAAUCUAUAACAGGCAAUCCAGUGGUCAAGGUCUCAUGCCGUCGGAUUAUGCAAACAACCACCUCAAUGAGCCUGAUUACCUGAAACAGGUCAAGGUGCUUCGUCCACAUUAAUCCAGACAAAAGAUCAAAGGUUGCAAGGGAAAAAGAAAGAAGACAGUCAUGUGUGUGAAAGUUCUCAAGCUCAUCAGUGAAGUUGCAGACUUUGAAUUGAUCGAGGCCUGAGUGGGCAGAGUCUUGCUACAAUAAUGACAGAUCUUGUCGAUUGGCAUUAAGGGACUGGCCAUACAUACAAGUAGGGGGAGGGGGUGGAUGUUGGGGAAGUGGGAAUAUGUGCAGUUGAUACGAGAAGUGCCAACAGAAGAGAAGAAAUAAAUAAUUUUAUGUUCAUUUCAUGGUUUUGUUUUUGUUUUGGUUUUUUACACUUACCUACAUCGGGCAUGAGCUGUUGCUUUCAUCUUUCAUCAAGUGAAAGCAUACAUAUGGGACAUUCUCCAGUUAUAUUCUUAUAUUAUGUGAACAACCAUUAAUCCCAAUGAACUACUUUCAGAUGUUGAGUAUUGUGUCACCUACAGGGAGUUGUCUGUCCUAUGCUUGGAUGUAUUUCUUGUUUUAAUAAAAUUGCUUAAAACUU
This is a long non-coding RNA of Haliotis rubra (blacklip abalone), 728 nucleotides long. RefSeq lists it as uncharacterized. The transcript has 2 exons. The record is from RefSeq and is a predicted model, not a curated record. NCBI's taxonomy places the organism in Eukaryota, Metazoa, Mollusca, Gastropoda, Lepetellida, Haliotidae.